UCAGGAUGAACGCUAGCUACAGGCCUAACACAUGCAAGUCGAGGGGCGAGCAGAUCGAAAGCUUGCUUUGAUGCUGGCGACCGGCGAAUGGGUGAGUCACGCGUGUCCAACCUGGCCUCCGGCCCGGGGAUAGCCCUUGGAAAUGAGGAUUAAGACCCGAUACGUGGCGCUUCCGCAUGGCGGUGCCAUGAAACGAGACCGGAGAUGGGGACGCGUCGGAUUAGCUGACGGCGGGGCAACGGCCCACCGUGGCGACGAUCCGCAGGGGUUCUGAGAGGAAGGUCCCCCACACUGGCACUGAGACACGGGCCAGACUCCUACGGGAGGCAGCAGUGAGGAAUAUUGGUCACUGGCCGAGAGGCUGAACCAGCCAAGUAGCGUGCAGGAAUGACGGCCCUACGGGUUGUAAACUGCUUUUGCGGGAGGAUAAAGUGCGCCACGUGUGGCGCUUUGCAGGUAUCCCGUGAAUAAGGACCGGCUAAUUCCGUGCCAGCAGCAGC
RNAcentral lists this ribosomal RNA (500 nucleotides) under uncultured bacterium. Its description in RNAcentral is "bacterial SSU rRNA". It matches the Rfam family "Bacterial small subunit ribosomal RNA", at positions 24 to 518 of the family's 1533-position model. The record is from RNAcentral.